This is a long non-coding RNA of Hyla sarda, 499 nucleotides long. RefSeq lists it as uncharacterized. NCBI's taxonomy places the organism in Eukaryota, Metazoa, Chordata, Amphibia, Anura, Hylidae. The transcript is spliced from 3 exons. The record is from RefSeq and is a predicted model, not a curated record.
UGACAACAGAAUAAACAAUAACAAAAACACACAUGGUGAUUUCUUGACUGAAGAUCAGCAGUACAUCAGAAGUAAUAAGAAGCAAUUUUUUUGUAUCGCCUCCACGUCUUGGUGGGAACACUUGAUCAAUCACCUGAUAACGUAACUGGGAAAUAUUAUGUCCUUUGAUCUUGAAAUGAUUUUGGCAGUGGAAAGCAAAUGUUGAGGCAACAGCUAUCAAACAGAAGGCAGCAGAGUCUGUGAACAGAAAACUAAGAUCAACAGCCAAGCUCAUUAAUAACACAAGAGGCCCUCAUGCUGUUCGAGGAAAAUUCUCUAAAGUAAACUAAAUAAGGAUCCUAUGUAAAUGGAGCAGAGAUGGGGAAACUCUUGUGUUGAACUUUAUUCUCAUCUGCUUAUGUCAUAUUUGUAUUUAUAUUUUUCCUUCAUUUAUAACAUAUUUUUAAUUUACAUAAUAAAGAGUUUGUCAUAGGUUUGUUAAUGCUAACAACCACAGGAA